CUACGGGGGGCAGCAGUGAGGAAUAUUGCACAAUGGGGGGAAUCCUGAUGCAGCAACGCCGCGUGGAGGAUGACGCAUUUCGGUGUGUAAACUCCUUUUAUAUAUCAAGAAAAUGACGGUAGCAUAUGAAUAAGCACCGGCUAACUCCGUGCCAGCAGCCGCGGUAAUACGGAGGGUGCAAGCGUUACUCGGAAUCACUGGGCGUAAAGGACGCGUAGGCGGGUUGGAAAGUCAGGUGUGAAAUCCUACAGCUUAACUGUAGAACUGCAAUUGAAACUUCUAAUCUAGAGUAUGGGAGGGGGAGAUGGAAUUAGUGGUGUAGGGGUAAAAUCCGUAGAUAUCACUAGGAAUACCUAAAGCGAAGGCGAUCUCCUGGAACAUUACUGACGCUAAGGCGUGAAAGCGUGGGGAGCAAACAGGAUUAGAUACCCUUGUAGUC
Molecule: ribosomal RNA, 439 nt
Filed under: uncultured bacterium
Lineage: Bacteria
Description: partial 16S ribosomal RNA
Rfam family: Bacterial small subunit ribosomal RNA
Source: RNAcentral